This 641-nucleotide ribosomal RNA is filed under the name Pediococcus pentosaceus. Its description in RNAcentral is "bacterial SSU rRNA". It matches the Rfam family "Bacterial small subunit ribosomal RNA", at positions 61 to 675 of the family's 1533-position model. Lineage: Bacteria; Bacillati; Bacillota; Bacilli; Lactobacillales; Lactobacillaceae. The record is from RNAcentral.
AUUGAUUAUGACGUACUUGUACUGAUUGAGAUUUUAACACGAAGUGAGUGGCGAACGGGUGAGUAACACGUGGGUAACCUGCCCAGAAGUAGGGGAUAACACCUGGAAACAGAUGCUAAUACCGUAUAACAGAGAAAACCGCAUGGUUUUCUUUUAAAAGAUGGCUCUGCUAUCACUUCUGGAUGGACCCGCGGCGUAUUAGCUAGUUGGUGAGGUAAAGGCUCACCAAGGCAGUGAUACGUAGCCGACCUGAGAGGGUAAUCGGACCACAUUGGGACUGAGACACGGCCCAGACUCCUACGGGAGGCAGCAGUAGGGAAUCUUCCACAAUGGACGCAAGUCUGAUGGAGCAACGCCGCGUGAGUGAAGAAGGGUUUCGGCUCGUAAAGCUCUGUUGUUAAAGAAGAACGUGGGUAAGAGUAACUGUUUACCCAGUGACGGUAUUUAACCAGAAAGCCACGGCUAACUACGUGCCAGCAGCCGCGGUAAUACGUAGGUGGCAAGCGUUAUCCGGAUUUAUUGGGCGUAAAGCGAGCGCAGGCGGUCUUUUAAGUCUAAUGUGAAAGCCUUCGGCUCAACCGAAGAAGUGCAUUGGAAACUGGGAGACUUGAGUGCAGAAGAGGACAGUGGAACUCCAUGUG